UCUUUCAGAAUUAUCUGGAACAAAAAAUGGAUUCUCUAUUUUCUGUACAAAUUCGGAACCCUCUAGAAUCCCUAUAAACAAUAUGACUGACCCUGAUAUCUUGGGUCAGUCUUACAAAAAUGGUUGGGCUAAAACCGACCCAAAACUAAAACAGGCACAAAAGUAAAGUAGCAGCCCAAUGUACAAUAUACAUGCAAUAUAUAAUAAAGAUACAAUAAAAAUACAACACUCAACAAAGUAUGUGUUUAGGCUUAGAUGCUAAGUAGUCUUUUAGCUCAACACCCCCCUCAAGUUGGAGGG
RNAcentral lists this long non-coding RNA (300 nucleotides) under Nicotiana benthamiana. RNAcentral's name for it is "long non-coding RNA (NBEN_LNC037420)". The record is from RNAcentral. Lineage: Eukaryota; Viridiplantae; Streptophyta; Magnoliopsida; Solanales; Solanaceae.